AUACGGAGGGUGCAAGCGUUAUUCGGAAUCACUGGGCGUAAAGGACGCGUAGGCGGGUUGGCAAGUCAGAUGUGAAAUCCUACAGCUUAACUGUAGAACUGCAUUUGAAACUGCUAACCUAGAGUAUGGGAGGGGGAGAUGGAAUUAGUGGUGUAGGGGUAAAAUCCGUAGAUAUCACUAGGAAUACCGAAAGCGAAGGCGAUCUCCUGGAACAUAGCUGACGCUAAGGCGUGAAAGCGUGGGGAGCAAACAGGAUUAGAUACCCUAGUAGUCC
Molecule: ribosomal RNA, 274 nt
Filed under: uncultured bacterium
Lineage: Bacteria
Description: partial 16S ribosomal RNA
Rfam family: Bacterial small subunit ribosomal RNA
Source: RNAcentral